ACCUUAGGGGUAGUUUGCGCCUCAAAGGCCAGAUGGGUGGCCCAGGUGGAGAGACUGCCAAUAGAGGGGAGACCAUCCACUCUAAAAGCUCACUAGCUGGUUCUGGAGGAUUGAGCUUUAGCAGCAUAAACAUCCAAUUUGAAAGACCUGCUUUAAUGAGAAGGUUCCAAUGGACUACACAGGUAAAGACUGGAGCUGGAUGUGAAAAUUCCCUAAUAUGUGAGCAGCAGCACUGGAGCUCACCAACCUGUUUCUGGCUAAGUUUCUGGGACACAGGAGACUGGAGAGUGUUGGAUUGGAAUGGAGCUGCUGUGGGAGCCUGACAGACCUGCUGCAGAUCUAGUGGAGUCCUCAAUGGGAAUGUCCCUAAAGAUUGUAAACUCUUUGGAGCAGGGAUUCUGACUGUGUUUGUACAGUACCUAGCACAGUGGGGGCCUGAUCUUAGCUGGGUAUUGCUGUGAUACAGAUAAUAAAUAAUAGUACCCAGCAGCUCAAGGACUAGGAAAAAUGGCAUUCUUCCAGCUAGUCCACCUGCCCCCAUAUGUGCUUUGUUUUUAACCAUCUCAUGCAUUGAGAUCACGGCGACGUGCACAACAAGAAACCACCCUCCCACUCCUGGGUGAUUCACAAUGCAGAUUCCCUCAAGAAACUGUGAGAUCAACUUUCUAAGCCUGAUAAUGAUCGCUCCUCACAGAAGGUGAGAUGCAUCACAAACGGCUUCUCUGCAACUGCGACAACUUUAUGGGCAUCCCCAAAUGAAAAUCAGCUGCUAAGAUCAAAGAGCAGAGCUGCCAUGCUGUAGCCAGAGGUUUGAGGAGAUUUGCAUAGCGCAGGCGGGGGAGAGACUCCUGCUAGGUUUUGGAUUUUCUUUCUUCUGCGUUGCAGGCUGGACUCCUCUGAAUCUGCCCACUUCCCCUGCAUCCCCAGCCUCACCAUGUUCCUCACCUUCCUUUAGUUCUGCUGGCCAUGUGGAAGUGCUGCCCACCUCUGAACCACUAGCCCAGUAGAGCCAUCAGCACUCCCCAUUGUGCUUGGCAUGGGGGGCCAAGGGAGCAGCUCUGUGUUAAACAGAGCACAGAACAGCCUGAGCAAGCCCGGAGAGCCCAGGAGAGCAAAGGAAACUGGCAGAGGGGCAGAGGUGGGAUGCUUCUAGUGCAUGCAGGAGUCUCCUCAGUUCUGCAGUGAGGACACUGGUGCUUUGGCUUCACCCCAGGCAGAGGGCCAGCGCCAGUCCCAAGCGCCACAGAGGGCAUGUCUGCACUGCAACCAGACGGUGACUGCUGCAGGUGCAGACCUAUCCCAGCCAGCUUCGAUCUCGCCGGCACAAAUACCAACAGCAGGGAAACUGUGGCAGCAUGGGCUGUCCAAACCCACCUAGGAGUACUUGAGCAGUGAGCCCAGGCUACCUUGGCUUUACUGCUAUUGUUAUUGGAGCUAGCCAGCUGCCUUGCGUAUCUCUGCAUGUGGGGCAGUCACACCUUUGCAGUGCAGACAGACCCUUCAGCUCGGCAGAGUUUUCCUUCAGUGGAUUUCUGUGACCAUAA
Molecule: long non-coding RNA, 1544 nt
Organism: Mauremys reevesii (Reeves's turtle)
Lineage: Eukaryota; Metazoa; Chordata; Testudines; Geoemydidae
Exons: 3
Source: RefSeq, a predicted model, not a curated record